GCCUUCGUGGUGUAGUGGUCAGCACGCUCGCCGCGAAAUCGAGAGGUCCGUGGUUCGAGUCCCGAUGAGGGCA
Molecule: non-coding RNA, 73 nt
Organism: Stegodyphus mimosarum
Lineage: Eukaryota; Metazoa; Arthropoda; Arachnida; Araneae; Eresidae
Source: Rfam